Molecule: ribosomal RNA, 497 nt
Filed under: uncultured bacterium
Lineage: Bacteria
Description: partial 16S ribosomal RNA
Rfam family: Bacterial small subunit ribosomal RNA
Source: RNAcentral
GAUGAACGCUGGCGGCGUGCCUAAUACAUGCAAGUCGAGCGAACAGAUGAGGAGCUUGCUCCUCUGACGUUAGCGGCGGACGGGUGAGUAACACGUGGAUAACCUACCUAUAAGACUGGGAUAACUUCGGGAAACCGGAGCUAAUACCGGAUAAUAUAUUGAACCGCAUGGUUCAAUAGUGAAAGACGGUUUUGCUGUCACUUAUAGAUGGAUCCGCGCCGCAUUAGCUAGUUGGUAAGGUAACGGCUUACCAAGGCGACGAUGCGUAGCCGACCUGAGAGGGUGAUCGGCCACACUGGAACUGAGACACGGUCCAGACUCCUACGGGAGGCAGCAGUAGGGAAUCUUCCGCAAUGGGCGAAAGCCUGACGGAGCCACGCCGCGUGAGUGAUGAAGGUCUUCGGAUCGUAAAACUCUGUUAUUAGGGAAGAACAAAUGUGUAAGUAACUAUGCACGUCUUGACGGUACCUAAUCAGAAAGCCACGGCUAACUACGUG